This is a long non-coding RNA of Pipra filicauda (Wire-tailed manakin), 481 nucleotides long. RefSeq lists it as uncharacterized. NCBI's taxonomy places the organism in Eukaryota, Metazoa, Chordata, Aves, Passeriformes, Pipridae. The record is from RefSeq and is a predicted model, not a curated record. The transcript has 2 exons.
GUCUUCAUGCUUGAGGAUAUUAAAAAGCCACCUGGACAUGGUCCCGGGCAACCAACCCUAGGGGCUCUGCUUGAGCCAGGGGGCUGGAUCAGAUGGGCUCCAGAGGUGCCUUCCAACCUCAACUAUCCUGUGAUUGUGUGAGUGGUGGCUUAGAUAAGCAUCAGGGGCUCUGACUUAAAAUCGCUCAAGUGCGGCAACUGAGUCUGCCAAGGGACCUAUGGAUCAAAGUUCCUAAGGAUGGGGAGUGAAAAAAAAAAAGGAGCCCAUCCAUGAUGUGAUUCAAGAAAACUCACCUUUGCUUCCUCAACUGGCACAUAAUUGCUGCUCUCCUCGUUGUGACCCAUGGGUGUGAACAAGGCAUGUUGGAGGGAUGUGCCCUCUGCCUGAUGCUCCCCUAAUUACUUAUGAGGCAUUUUGUGAUCUGCUGCAGUUUGAGGCCUGGCAUUUUAAAGUUAAUGAAGAUCAAUGUCAGAUUGUCUUA